CCGUUACAAACGACAGCUCGUUCAGCCUCUCAAAAGCCGACAGUGUGUCCAGUCAGAUGGCGAGACUCAGUACAAGUGAGUCAGAUGACGCAAUAUCUCCCAGAAUAAAUGCCUCAACUCAACAAAGACCGAGUGAUCAGAGUGAAGUGGACGGCAGGAUCAACAACGCUGCAGCGGUAAGGAGAGACUCUUAGUUUCACCUUUCACACUUUAACAGGUUUAGAACUAUCCUCUGCAUGUGAAGGGAUCUCUGGGAGCACUACGAACAUCCAGUGUGGAAACUGAUGAUUUGCUUAACUUUGAUCAAAUUGUGGGGCUUUAUGUGCAAGAGAGUAAAAAGAUAGC
This is a long non-coding RNA of Notothenia coriiceps (black rockcod), 345 nucleotides long. RefSeq lists it as uncharacterized. The transcript has 3 exons. The record is from RefSeq and is a predicted model, not a curated record. NCBI's taxonomy places the organism in Eukaryota, Metazoa, Chordata, Actinopteri, Perciformes, Nototheniidae.